Molecule: ribosomal RNA, 625 nt
Filed under: Sonerila cantonensis
Lineage: Eukaryota; Viridiplantae; Streptophyta; Magnoliopsida; Myrtales; Melastomataceae
Description: eukaryotic LSU rRNA
Rfam family: 5.8S ribosomal RNA (bases 234-389)
Source: RNAcentral
CAUUGUCGAAAUCGAACGGAAGGAUGACCCGCGAACAGUACUUGCGUCUAUGAGAGGAGGGCCCGUGGGCAUAACGAUCGCGCGGCUCUCGUCGUACCGACGGAUAAUCAUUUUUCAGCACGGAUCGUGCCAAGGAGCUGAAUGGAGAGAAUCGUCGUCCCACGCCUCCGGCUGCCCUCGUUGCGUGGCUGUAGGCGUGGACGCACGUGGCCUCUACUAAAACAAGUCUGAAUGACUCUCGGCAACGGAUAUCUCGGCUCUUGCAUCGAUGAAGAACGUAGCGAAAUGCGAUACUUGGUGUGAAUUGCAGAAUCCCGCGAGCCAUCAAUUUUUUGAACGCAAGUUGCGCCCGAAGCCAUUCGGCCGAGGGCACGCCUGCCUGGGCAUCGUGAAUCCCCUUGCCCUUGGACACCCGUCGCUCAUGCGUGCGCAUUGCGCGGGGCAGUCCUUGGUGCAGAACGUGGUUCUCCCGUGAGAUCCGCACGCGCGGCGUGCCGAGGAGCGGUUGGCCGAAAUUUGAGCAGGGAGGUGACGGGAACCACGCCGUUCGGUGGAUCUAAUUAGAUUGGCUGCUUCGUGGUCUCGGCACGCGUCUCGCUCCGAGCUUUGACGAUCCCGAGUGCGA